Molecule: ribosomal RNA, 561 nt
Filed under: uncultured bacterium
Lineage: Bacteria
Description: partial 16S ribosomal RNA
Rfam family: Bacterial small subunit ribosomal RNA
Source: RNAcentral
UGGGGAAUUUUGGACAAUGGGCGAAAGCCUGAUCCAGCAAUGCCGCGUGUGUGAAGAAGGCCUUCGGGUUGUAAAGCACUUUUGUCCGGAAAGAAAUCCUUGGCUCUAAUACAGUCGGGGGAUGACGGUACCGGAAGAAUAAGCACCGGCUAACUACGUGCCAGCAGCCGCGGUAAUACGUAGGGUGCAAGCGUUAAUCGGAAUUACUGGGCGUAAAGCGUGCGCAGGCGGUUUGCUAAGACCGAUGUGAAAUCCCCGGGCUCAACCUGGGAACUGCAUUGGUGACUGGCAGGCUAGAGUAUGGCAGAGGGGGGUAGAAUUCCACGUGUAGCAGUGAAAUGCGUAGAGAUGUGGAGGAAUACCGAUGGCGAAGGCAGCCCCCUGGGCCAAUACUGACGCUCAUGCACGAAAGCGUGGGGAGCAAACAGGAUUAGAUACCCUGGUAGUCCACGCCCUAAACGAUGUCAACUAGUUGUUGGGGAUUCAUUUCCUUAGUAACGUAGCUAACGCGUGAAGUUGACCGCCUGGGGAGUACGGUCGCAAGAUUAAAACUUAAAGGAA